Molecule: long non-coding RNA, 3778 nt
Filed under: Coffea arabica (coffee)
Lineage: Eukaryota; Viridiplantae; Streptophyta; Magnoliopsida; Gentianales; Rubiaceae
Description: long non-coding RNA (CARA_LNC003807)
Source: RNAcentral
AUCGAAUCUCAUUCCUUCUCUGCACAACUCCAUCGAAACCGCUGCAAAUCCUCUCCACAGACGCGCCUCACCUCUUCCUCUGCAUUCGACCAAGAGCAUCCGAGAGGGAGAGCCACUUGGUGAGCUGCAUCCGUGAGCUAGGAGGAGGGAAUGUGAGCUGCCAGAAAUUUCUGGUUCUGCCGUGAGUUGGAGCGAAGCCAGGGAGGAGAUUUGCAGGAAGUUUCACCAUUCUGUACCUUCAUUCCAACCAACUCCAACCAACCAAACUCAAAUCUACCAGCUACAACCAAUUCCAGCCGCAACUUAGAAGCCAGGAACCACCGACUGCACUUGAAGCCGUGAGCAAGGAAGAAAUUUCUGGAAAUUUUCGUGUGAGAGAUUGGCUACUAUCUAAGGUAAAUUCUGGAUUAAUUAGGUUGUUUAUUAGUGGAGCAAGCUACAUCUGAGCUUGCAUGUUCAGAUUAUGCAAUCGGGUGCUGAAAUCAAACCAUUAGGAAAAUUUCUGUUUUGAUAAAAUGUUGCUACCGAGACUCUGAGGUGUUAUUGCAGCUCCAAUUGUGUUUUUAUGUGACAAUCUGAACAUCUAAGUGUCUUUAGCUGAGUGAAAACUUGAAGAUUAAGACCAUGCAUGUUGAAUUGGGCAUUCGGAUGAAGUGUUAAAGCAGAGAAAAUUUCUGGUUCGGUUAAGAAAAUUUCUGCCGAGGAGCUGGCUUGAAUUUGUAGUCUUAUUUCUGAUUUCCUGCGACAAUCUGAGGUUGUUUAAGUGUUUAGCUAGUCAAAAACAAGAAGCUUAAUUUAUCUAGUGACAUGCAUGUGAUGUUAGGCAAUCGGAUGAGAUUUUUAAGAAAAAUAAUUCUGUUAUGUGCUAGUAUAGAAACUGCCGAGAGCUUAGUUUAAUUUUUUUUUGCAGCCUGAUUUAGUUUAAUGUGUUGGUUAAGCUUAUAAACAUGAUUAGAUGGUUAAUAACAAGUUAAUUAAGCUCUGCAUGCAGCUAAUUAGUUAGUUUAAACCAGAAAAUAAAAUAAUAAUGCAAUCUGUUGCAUGCAUGUUUGUCCGAAGCUAGCUGUACAGAAUUUAUGGAAAUUUUGAGAAUUUGCAGCUGUUGUUUAAGUUAAAUUUUGAAUUGGAAAUAUUAAUUAGCUAGAUAUGUUUUUUGCAUGACUAAUUUGGGUAUCUAAAACCAGGUUUAGCCGAGGAAAAUUGGAUUUUAUAAACACCUAAGUGCUGGAAAAAUUCUGGAAUAGCCGAGAGGUUUGAUCAGAAAUUUUCAGUUUGUUUUCUUUUGGAAUUUUAACCUAUUUCUGGAUUUUCCUUGGAAAAUGAUGGCUUAGAAAUACCGAGGAGUUGUAAGUUUUAAGUGGUGUAAGUUGUUUAGCAAUGAAAUAUUUGAUAAAUUGAAAAUGGAACCAGAAAAUGUUGUGUUAUACAUGUGGAGAUUCUUAAGUGAUAGCUAAAGGGUGAGUUGGAACCUUAACUUGAUUUUUAAAUUGUUCCUUGAAUCAUGAUGGGUGUAAAUGCUUGGAAUAUGUUGUUUUGAAGUUCUAUAAGAAGUGUAUGGAUGGUUUAAAUAAAAACAUGUUGGUGUUAAAAGAGAAAAGGAGUUUUCACAAGUGAGAAAUUGAAAUUUCAGAUUUUCGGAUGUCCCUGACCAGUCUCAAUAAAAUGUUUAUAUCUUGGUGUAGGAAAAUCCGUUUAAGGCGCCGUCAGUGGCAUUUGAAACUAGAAUCAUAGACCUUUGUCCUGUAGAAAUUUCACAUUUUUUCUCCAUGUGUACUGCUGUUUGUAAAUCCAUGAAGUAGACUGUUUUGGUAGGAAUGUCCUGUUUCUUUGUGAAAUUGAAAUUGGGUUUUGGAUUGAGAUUUUAGCUUACUUGUGGUUUAAAUUCUUGAUUAAAUUGUGGUUGGAAGUAAUUGAUGUUGUCAAGGGCUAAUGAUUGAUGAAGCCCUUGGCCAUUUGAAUGAUUUUAUAAGUACUACAGGGUGAUAAAAGUUAAUUGCUGGAAUGUCUUGGAGGCUUUGCCUUUAUUUUUAUUUGCUUAUGAUGGGCUUGCUGAAACCAAGUGCUAAUGAUUGAUGAAGCCUUGGUUGAUCAUUUUAUUUUAUUCAGAAAUGCACUUGUUGAAAUUUAGGGCUAAUGAUUGACGAAACCCUAGUAAUUUGCUAUGUGAUUUUUGCCAUAUUUUGAUCCAUAUUAUGAUUUCGAAACGGAAUCGGAGCUGGGGAAGUUGUAUCGACCUUGCGAACUCGAGUGACUGUGGUCAAAGUAAUCAAAAAUAUUUUCCAGCUAGUAUUAUAUUAUAAAACUCAAUAUCUAGUGUUUUGCCUAAAAACUUUCUAACCCAAUAAUUCCCUUUAGCUCAAACUAGCCUUGAUGGCUAUAGCAAAUAAGUUCUAUAGCUUUUGAAAACUCUAAAUCUUAUUUUAAUUCCUUUUCUUUCCUUAAGCUUUGCACUUGGAUAGUUAACUAUAGGAAAAGUUUCAAAAUACGAGUUAUACUAAUUUUGGUGAAAAGCUUGGGAAACUUGCUCGGCAAGAAACCCUAUUUUAGGAAAAAUAGUUUUUAUGGAUAAUUUUUGCAAAAACCGUAACUUUAGAGAAAUGUUCAAAGUAACUUUCUAACAUUGAUAUUGAGAGGUUUGUCGACUUAUUUCAAGAAAAUAAUACUAAUUACCUUUUAUAAGAAAAGUAUUCUAAGGAAAACUAAAGGAAACAAUUCUUCUACUUUCGUCAAGAUUCAACCUAUGGAAAUUCUUGAUUUUUCUAAGGGAAAGUGAACUAGUAGUAUAUUAGAUAUACCUCAAUAUCUAUAAGCUUAAAAACUGAGUAGAAACUUAUAGUUUCAAAUUUUGGCUUUUAGGGUUUUUCGAGAACGCGGAAUUCGAUCCCCAACUUGAUAGCUGAACUCCACUCUUGGUGAGUGUCCCUGUCUGUUCUAUGUUUACCUGCUUAAAGUACCUUUUUGACUUGAUGUGUGAUAAGUUGAAAAAUUGGUUUCUGACCCAUCGAAGUGAGUUGUGUGUACUUUAUCGCACUAGCCGUUCGAGUGGUGACUUGUGCAAAAACAUUUUUCUCCUGAAACCAUAAAUCUAAAAUGUAGUUGCGUCGUUGGGUGAAUCCCUCGAUUUCUGUAUCCAACUACCAUAAAUCUAAAAUAUAGUUGCGUCGUUGGGUGAAUCCCUCGACUUCUGUAUCCAACUACCAUAAACCUAAAAUGUAGUUGCAUCGUUGGGUGAAUCCCUCGACUUCUGUAUCCAACUACUGUGACGGGUAUAUCUCGAGGAUACUACGUCCUUAGUCGGUGAGCGGGCCCGGGAUAGGGGUAUGAAUGGUGACGGGUUAGGUAUCAAAAUAAGACGCUCUACAUGGAUUAUAAGUAGUGAGAGUUGACGGAGGGACGAAAAAUGAUGAUCAAGCGAGGAAAAUGGCUCCUGAGAGCCCACGUAUCCUACCUUGUGCUGUUACAUGAUUUUCUAACUGUUUAAAGUUGUUCAGUUAUUAAUCGCUGUUUGAAAUUAUGUGAUUGCAUGUUUUGGAGCACCACUGAGUUUUAGCUCACCCCACGUUUAUUAUUUUCCUUAACAGGUUCUGGAAACUGAAAGCUGGAUGCUUACUUAUGUUUUUUUUUCUUUUGGACUGCAUUUGAACACUAUAACUUAUUCUGUGGGCUGUAAUGUGUUAUUUGGGAUAAUGUAUUUUCCUUUUUGGAUUGCCACUUGAAAUUGGAAAAUGUGUAAACCCUAAUUCGAUUACUUGGCUUGUAAGUUGUAUUAUGGAUUUAU